UUAAGCGACUAAGCGUACACGGUGGAUGCCUAGGCAGUCAGAGGCGAUGAAGGGCGUGCUAAUCUGCGAAAAGCGUCGGUAAGCUGAUAUGAAGCGUUAUAACCGACGAUACCCGAAUGGGGAAACCCAGUGCAAUACGUUGCACUAUCGUUAGAUGAAUACAUAGUCUAACGAGGCGAACCGGGGGAACUGAAACAUCUAAGUACCCCGAGGAAAAGAAAUCAACCGAGAUUCCCCCAGUAGCGGCGAGCGAACGGGGAGGAGCCCCGAGUCUGAAUCAGUUUGUGUGUUAGUGGAAGCGUCUGGAAAGUCGCACGGUACAGGGUGAUAGUCCCGUACACCAAAAUGCACAGGCUGUGAACUCGAUGAGUAGGGCGGGACACGUGACAUCCUGUCUGAAUAUGGGGGGACCAUCCUCCAAGGCUAAAUACUCCUGACUGACCGAUAGUGAACCAGUACCGUGAGGGAAAGGCGAAAAGAACCCCGGCGAGGGGAGUGAAAUAGAACCUGAAACCGUGUACGUACAAGCAGUGGGAGCACCUUCGUGGUGUGACUGCGUACCUUUUGUAUAAUGGGUCAGCGACUUAUAUUUUGUAGCAAGGUUAACCGAAUAGGGGAGCCGUAGGGAAACCGAGUCUUAACUGGGCGUCUAGUUGCAAGGUAUAGACCCGAAACCCGGUGAUCUAGCCAUGGGCAGGUUGAAGGUUGGGUAACACUAACUGGAGGACCGAACCGACUAAUGUUGAAAAAUUAGCGGAUGACUUGUGGCUGGGGGUGAAAGGCCAAUCAAACCGGGAGAUAGCUGGUUCUCCCCGAAAGCUAUUUAGGUAGCGCCUCGUGAACUCAUCUUCGGGGGUAGAGCACUGUUUCGGCUAGGGGGCCAUCCCGGCUUACCAAACCGAUGCAAACUCCGAAUACCGAAGAAUGUUAUCACGGGAGACACACGGCGGGUGCUAACGUCCGUCGUGAAGAGGGAAACAACCCAGACCGCCAGCUAAGGUCCCAAAGUCAUGGUUAAGUGGGAAACGAUGUGGGAAGGCACAGACAGCCAGGAUGUUGGCUUAGAAGCAGCCAUCAUUUAAAGAAAGCGUAAUAGCUCACUGGUCGAGUCGGCCUGCGCGGAAGAUGUAACGGGGCUAAACCAUGCACCGAAGCUGCGGCAGCGACACUUAGGUGUUGUUGGGUAGGGGAGCGUUCUGUAAGCCGUUGAAGGUGACCUGUGAGGGUUGCUGGAGGUAUCAGAAGUGCGAAUGCUGACAUAAGUAACGAUAAUGCGGGUGAAAAACCCGCACGCCGGAAGACCAAGGGUUCCUGUCCAACGUUAAUCGGGGCAGGGUGAGUCGACCCCUAAGGCGAGGCUGAAAAGCGUAGUCGAUGGGAAACAGGUUAAUAUUCCUGUACUUGGUGUUACUGCGAAGGGGGGACGGAGAAGGCUAGGCUGGCCGGGCGACGGUUGUCCCGGUUUAAGCGUGUAGGGGGAGUGACCAGGUAAAUCCGGUUGCUUAUCAACCCUGAGGCGUGAUGACGAUGCACUACGGUGCAGAAGCAGUUGAUGCCAUGCUUCCAGGAAAAGCCUCUAAGCAUCAGGUAACAUUAAAUCGUACCCCAAACCGACACAGGUGGUCAGGUAGAGAAUACUCAGGCGCUUGAGAGAACUCGGGUGAAGGAACUAGGCAAAAUGGUGCCGUAACUUCGGGAGAAGGCACGCUGGCGUUAGGUGAAAGGACUAGCUCCUGGAGCUGAAGCCAGUCGCAGAUACCAGCUGGCUGCAACUGUUUAAUAAAAACACAGCACUGUGCAAACACGAAAGUGGACGUAUACGGUGUGACGCCUGCCCGGUGCUGGAAGGUUAAUUGAUGGGGUCAGCCGCAAGGCGAAGCUCUUGAUCGAAGCCCCAGUAAACGGCGGCCGUAACUAUAACGGUCCUAAGGUAGCGAAAUUCCUUGUCGGGUAAGUUCCGACCUGCACGAAUGGCGUAAUGAUGGCCAGGCUGUCUCCACCCGAGACUCAGUGAAAUUGAACUCGCUGUGAAGAUGCAGUGUACCCGCGGCAAGACGGAAAGACCCCGUGAACCUUUACUAUAGCUUGACACUGAACAUUGAGCCUUGAUGUGUAGGAUAGGUGGGAGGCCUUGAAGUGUGGACGCCAGUCUGCAUGGAGCCAACCUUGAAAUACCACCCUUUAAUGUUUGAUGUUCUAACUCGGCCCCAUGAUCUGGGGUGAGGACAGUGUCUGGUGGGUAGUUUGACUGGGGCGGUCUCCUCCCAAAGAGUAACGGAGGAGCACGAAGGUUAGCUAAUCACGGUCGGACAUCGUGAGGUUAGUGCAAAGGCAUAAGCUAGCUUGACUGCGAGAGUGACGGCUCGAGCAGGUACGAAAGUAGGGCUUAGUGAUCCGGUGGUUCUGAAUGGAAGGGCCAUCGCUCAACGGAUAAAAGGUACUCCGGGGAUAACAGGCUGAUACCGCCCAAGAGUUCAUAUCGACGGCGGUGUUUGGCACCUCGAUGUCGGCUCAUCACAUCCUGGGGCUGAAGUAGGUCCCAAGGGUAUGGCUGUUCGCCAUUUAAAGUGGUACGCGAGCUGGGUUUAGAACGUCGUGAGACAGUUCGGUCCCUAUCUGCCGUGGGCGUUGGAAGAUUGAGAGGGGCUGCUCCUAGUACGAGAGGACCGGAGUGGACGAAUCACUGGUGUUCGGGUUGUCAUGCCAAUGGCAUUGCCCGGUAGCUAAAUUCGGAAGAGAUAACCGCUGAAAGCAUCUAAGCGGGAAACUUGCCUCGAGAUGAGUCUUCCCUGGGGCUUAAAGCCCCCUGAAGGAACGUUAAAGACUAUGACGUUGAUAGGCUGGGUGUGUAAGUGCAGCGAUGUAUUGAGCUAACCAGUACUAAUGAUCCGUGAGGCUUAACCUU
Molecule: ribosomal RNA, 2905 nt
Filed under: Yersinia pseudotuberculosis
Lineage: Bacteria; Pseudomonadati; Pseudomonadota; Gammaproteobacteria; Enterobacterales; Yersiniaceae
Description: bacterial LSU rRNA
Rfam family: Bacterial large subunit ribosomal RNA
Source: RNAcentral